This 2341-nucleotide long non-coding RNA is filed under the name Salvia miltiorrhiza (redroot sage). Its description in RNAcentral is "long non-coding RNA (SMIL_LNC007017)". The record is from RNAcentral. Lineage: Eukaryota; Viridiplantae; Streptophyta; Magnoliopsida; Lamiales; Lamiaceae.
AACUGUGCAACCCCCUAUUUUUCGUGAUUUGAAAAAUCAAUCGCUAUAUUUUUGUUCUGCAUUUCACAUUGUAACUUGAUUUUAUUUGAGUAACAUUUUUUUCACAUGUAAUUAAGGUAACUAAUUAUCUCCCAAACAGUACAAAAUACGUUAUAUGUGUGUGAGAGUGUGCGUUUUCCAUAAUUAGGAAAAUCAUUACCAAAAUCCAUAAAAACUAAUCCAUAGCAGCUAUUACAAUCCUAUAAACAAGCAAACCUCCCCAAAAUCGCAAACCCUCGCCGAUCAGAAUCUAACGGUGGUUGGACCCCAGCAGCUCAGAUCCAUCACCUUCUUCACGCGCUGCUCUCGUAUCUCAAUCCUCUCCUUCUCCGCCCCCAUCAUCCUUCCCGACGCCGCCGCCGGCGAUGGUGAAACAAUGUGCUUAUGAUAGUAGGUCUGCACUCUGGUUUUAGCGCGCUGUUCAACGGAUCUGAUCACGUAAUUCCAUCUGCAAACCCCUAAUUGAUCUUUCAAAGCCUCCACCGCUCCGAUGCUCGCCGCGAUACCCCAGCCACCUUUUGUUGCUGCACUCAUUUCUAUAGUUUCCUCUGUUAAUCGAUUAAACUAUUGAGAGAUUUUGAGGGGAAUCGAGAAUUGCUGAUUGAGUUUUUGUUCAAGGUAAAAAUGCCAGUGCGUGGUGUUGUAUAUAUAGGGGGUGGGGAUUCACUGUGAGGCCCAAAGUGUGAAUUGUUAAAACAAGGAGCAGGGUUUAUUUAAGGUUACGGAAACAGUCAUGUUUUCUCAAAAUAAAUAAACAUUUAUUUAUUGUUAAAGAAAGCAGUUGUUUCGUGUCAUUUUCUGUGUAUUAGCCCACGGUUUUCGACUACUUUUCCACCUCAAGUUUAGGAAAUCGCUAGUUUUUUAUUUGUAAAACUAGCUGAUUGAGUAGGAUUAGCUACUUCAAUUUAUAUGGGCUAAUUGCUAAACAAUGUACGCGUUUUGAUUUAAUUUUUAGAAUAUUUUAAUAAUAUUUUUAUUUUCUUUGAAAUUGAAGGAAUAAUAUCUUAUUUUUAAUCUAUAUAAUAUAUGUGAAAACAUAGUUAUAUAAUUCAAAUAUGAAUUUUUAUUUAUGUUUGUGUAUGAAUAUAUUUAUUUGUCUACUUAUUUAUUUAUUAGUAUGCCUAAUACUCUAUAAUAAUAUGUGUAAUGUUAAUAAUCAUUGUCAAAUAAUUUAAAUAUUUUAUAUAUAAUGAUAAAUUAUUUAUGUACACAUAUUCAAAAUUAUAUUCAAUUAAUUUUAUAAAAUUUGAAAUUAAAUUUCUUUAGGCAAAAUUUGAAAUCAGAUAUGUAUUUAAAUAAGUAUAUUUGAUAAGAAACUUAGGCAAAAUGAUAUAUGCCAUUCUGUUGGAGUUUCCUUUUCCGGUAUCAAACAAUUACUUAAUUUUUUAUUAGUAUUUUUAAAAAUUGUAAGAAUAUGAUUUUUUCCCUAUUGUACGGUUCAAACUUCACUUAUAAGAAGACAUAGUUAUGUAAUGGAUUAACACUACAAAAAAUAUUUUGUCCACAGUAGCACAAUUUUUCUUUUAAAAAAUAGUAUUUCAUUAUGACGUGAGCAUUUUUAUUUUUUACUUCUCCCCCUUUUAACGUCAAUUAUGUUGUUUUCUUCUAUAAUUUCAGGAAAGAAAAUAAAAGUUUCCAUCAAAGAGGAAAAUUAAAAAUGAUACAUUUCAAAAUUAAAAAUAUAAAAACAUAUACAUUAUGAAAAUCUUUAUAAUACAUUACAUAUUGAAGCUAAGAGAUAUGAAGUUACAUAAAUAUAGAACAUAUAAUACAAGAGGCGAUUUUUAAGAUAAUCAUAUAAAAUAAUAAAAAUCAAUAGUUCAUAUACAUUAUUUCAUUAAAUUUUGGAUUUUUGGACGAGANCAUCCUCCGACCCCGCCGCCGGCGAUGGUGAAACAAUGUGCUUAUGAUAGUAGGUCUGCACUCUGGUUUUAGCGCGCUGUUCAACGGAUCUGAUCACGUAAUUCCAUCUGCAAACCCCUAAUUGAUCUUUCAAAGCCUCCACCGCUCCGAUGCUCGCCGCGAUACCCCAGCCACCUUUUGUUGCUGCACUCAUUUCUAUAGUUUCCUCUGUUAAUCGAUUAAACUAUUGAGAGAUUUUGAGGGGAAUCGAGAAUUGCUGAUUGAGUUUUUGUUCAAGGUAAAAAUGCCAGUGCGUGGUGUUGUAUAUAUAGGGGGUGGGGAUUCACUGUGAGGCCCAAAGUGUGAAUUGUUAAAACAAGGAGCAGGUUUUGUUUAAGGUUACGGAAACAGUCAUGUUUUCUCAAAAUAAAUAAACAUUUAUUUAUUGUUAAAGAAAGCA